AUAUCGAUCAGCGGUGGAAAAGAAACCAACUCGGAUUCCCUCAGUAACGGCGAGUGAAGUGGGAAUAGCCCAGCCCCGAAUCGCUUCGGCGAGUUGUGGGGUGUAGUCGGGUCAUUUCGAUUGAGUUUUUAGCAUCUAAGUCCCUUGGAACAGGGUGCCAUAGAGGGUGAAAGCCCCGUGAGGUGCAAUACUUGGUCUCCUUUGAUCCUGACUCUGAGUAGUGAUGUUUGGGAGUACAUCACUAAUUGGGUGGUAGACUCCAUCCAAGGCUAAAUAUUAGACGAGAGACCGAUAGCGCACAAGUA
This 305-nucleotide ribosomal RNA is filed under the name uncultured eukaryote. RNAcentral's name for it is "partial large subunit ribosomal RNA". It matches the Rfam family "Eukaryotic large subunit ribosomal RNA", at positions 40 to 350 of the family's 3401-position model. The record is from RNAcentral.